Rattus norvegicus (Norway rat) is the source of this 821-nucleotide RNA transcript. It is a transcript of the gene named ferredoxin 2, with no coding region annotated. The record is from RefSeq and is marked provisional. Lineage: Eukaryota; Metazoa; Chordata; Mammalia; Rodentia; Muridae.
UCCCAGCCCCCACACUACCCUUUAACUCUUCUGGGCUCCACAAGGCACGUACUUGGUGCUCAUACGUACAUAUAAGCAGAACAUAUACAAUGAGGCCUAAGGGGGAAAAGAAUCCAACCAGGGGGCGAGGCCGGAAGUUCAGCUGGAUCAAGUACGUGACCUCACACGGCGAUCAAACGCUGCGAUUAGAGUAGCGGCGACGCGCCGGGGAUACUCGGUCUUCCGGUCACGUGGCCUAUCAUGGCCGCCUCCAUGGCCCGUGGCGUGAGCGCCCGGGUCUUGUUACGGGCGGCCGGGGGAUCUUGGGGACCCAGGGCCGGGCACGCGGCAGUAACAUCUAGGACGUUCGGGUCUACAGGCGAGCGGCGUGCUGGCGAGGACGAGGCGGACAGCCCGGAGCUGCCCCGGGAUGUGGUCAACGUGGUGUUCGUGGACCGCUCUGGCAAGCGGAUCCCGGUGAGGGGCAGAGUCGGGGACAAUGUUCUUCAUCUGGCCCAGCGUCACGGGGUGGACCUGGAAGACUUGACAGUGUGGCAUCCUUUCACCCAGCUUAAGCCCGUGCCCGUCUGUCUGGGUAUUUAGUGGCCUCAGAGCUUGGUCUGUGUUUGCUCUCUGACGUCUCUCCCACAGUGAGCCUCAUUCAUACCAGCUGUAACUCCCAAGCCUCUGUAAGCAGGUCUGAGGGGCCUGCGAAGCGUCCCUGGCCUGUUCCACCUGCCACGUGUAUGUGAGUGAGGCCCACUUGGAUCUCCUACCACCUCCUGAGGAGAGGGAGGACGACAUGUUGGACAUGGCUCCACUGCUCCAGGAGAACUCGAGAC